AACGUAGGUGGCGAGCGUUAUCCGGAUUUAUUGGGCGUAAAGAGGGCGCAGGCGGCUUUUCAAGUUAGGUGUAAAAUCUCCUGGCCUAACUGGGAGGGAACAUCUAAUACUGUUAAGCUGGAGGACAACAGAGGGAGGUAGAAUUCCCGGUGUAGUGGUGAAAUGCGUAGAUAUCGGGAGGAAUACCAGUGGCGAAAGCGGCCUCCCAGGUUGUUUCUGACGCUUAAGCCCGAAGGCGUGGGGAG
This 245-nucleotide ribosomal RNA is filed under the name uncultured Chloroflexota bacterium. RNAcentral describes it as "uncultured Chloroflexi bacterium partial 16S ribosomal RNA". It matches the Rfam family "Bacterial small subunit ribosomal RNA", at positions 524 to 768 of the family's 1533-position model. Lineage: Bacteria; Bacillati; Chloroflexota. The record is from RNAcentral.